Molecule: ribosomal RNA, 1623 nt
Filed under: Triticum aestivum (bread wheat)
Lineage: Eukaryota; Viridiplantae; Streptophyta; Magnoliopsida; Poales; Poaceae
Description: partial small subunit ribosomal RNA
Source: RNAcentral
AUGAAGAUGGCGACUUGCAUUCGUAAGGUGGCCUCGGAGGAGUUUGGAGUGUCCGGGGGAAGGAGAAGCGAAGAUAAGGAUACCUGGUGGUGGAAUGAUGAUGUCCAGAAGGCGCUUAAAGAGAAGAAAGAUUGCUUCAGACGCCUAUACCUGGAUAGGAGUGCAGACAACAUAGAGAAGUACAAGAUGGCGAAGAAGGCCGCAAAGCGAGCUGUUGGUGAAGCAAGGGGUCGGGCAUAUGAGGACCUCUACCAAUGGUUAGGCGCGAAGGAAGGUGAAAGGGACAUCUAUAAGAUGGCUAAGAUCCGGGAGAGGAAGACGAGGGAUAUUGGCCAAGUCAAAUGCAUCAAGGACGGAGCAGGCCAACUCUUGGUGAAGGACGAAGAGAUUAAGCAUAGAUGGCGGGAGUACUUCGACAAGCUGUUCAAUGGGGAGAAUGAGAGUUCUACCAUUGAACUGAAUGACUCCUUUGAUGAGACCAGCAUGCGUUUUGUGCGGCGCAUCCAGGAGUCUGAGGUGAAGGAGGCUUUAAAAAGGAUGAAAGGAGGCAAGGCGAUGGGCCCUGAUUGUAUCCCCAUUGAGGUGUGGAAAGGUCUCGGGGACAUAGCGAUAGUAUGGCUAACCAAGCUUUUCAACCUCAUUUUUCGGGCAAACAAGAUGCCAGAAGAAUGGAGACGAAGUAUAUUAGUACCAAUCUUCAAGAACAAGGGGGAUGUUCAGAGUUGUACUAAUUACCGUGGAAUUAAGCUGAUGAGCCAUACAAUGAAGCUAUGGGAGAGAGUCAUUGAGCACCGCUUAAGAAGAAUGACAAGCGUGACCAAAAAUCAGUUUGGUUUCAUGCCUGGGAGGUCGACCAUGGAAGCCAUUUUCUUGGUACGACAACUUAUGGAGAGAUAUAGGGAGCAUAAGGAGGACUUGCAUAUGGUGUUCAUUGACUUGGAGAAGGCCUAUGAUAAGAUACCGCGGAAUGUCAUGUGGUGGGCCUUGGAGAAACACAAAGUCCCAGCAAAGUACAUUACCCUCAUCAAGGACAUGUACAAUAAUGUUGUGACAAGUGUUCGAACAAGUGAUGUCGACACCGAUGACUUCCCGAUUAAGAUAGGACUGCAUCAGGGGUCAGCUUUGAGCCCUUAUCUUUUUGCAUUGGUGAUGGAUGAGGUCACAAGGGGUAUACAAGGAGAUAUCCCAUGGUGUAUGCUCUUUGCGGAUGAUGUGGUGCUAGUUGACGAUAGUCGGACGGGGGUAAAUAGGAAGUUAGAGUUAUGGAGACAAACCUUGGAAUCGAAAGGUUUUAGGCUUAGUAGAACUAAAACCGAGUACAUGAUGUGCGGUUUCAGUACUACUAGCUGUGAGGAGGAGGAGGUUAGCCUUGAUGGCCAGGUGGUACCUCGGAAGGACACCUUUCGGUAUUUGGGGUCAAUGUUGCAGGAGGAUGGGGGUAUUGAUGAAGAUGUGAACCAUCGAAUCAAAGCCGGAUGGAUGAAGUGGCGCCAAGCUUCUGGCAUUCUCUGUGACAAGAGAGUGCCACAAAAGCUAAAAGGCAAGUUCUACAGGACGGCGGUUCAACCCGCAAUGUUGUAUGGCGCGGAGUGUUGGCCGACUAAAAGGCGACAUGUUCAAUAG